Molecule: ribosomal RNA, 301 nt
Filed under: uncultured bacterium
Lineage: Bacteria
Description: partial 16S ribosomal RNA
Rfam family: Bacterial small subunit ribosomal RNA
Source: RNAcentral
CAGCCGCCGCGGUAAUACGGAGGGGGCUAGCGUUGUUCGGAAUUACUGGGCGUAAAGCGCACGUAGGCGGCUUGGUAAGUUAGAGGUGAAAGCCCGGAGCUCAACUCCGGAAUUGCCUUUAAGACUGCCGAGCUAGUAGGUGAGAGAGGUAAGUGGAAUUCCGAGUGUAGAGGUGAAAUUCGUAGAUAUUCGGGAGAACACCAGUGGCGAAGGCGGCUUACUGGCUCAUUCUAGACGCUGAGGUGCGAAAGCGUGGGGAGCAAACAGGAUUAGAUACCCGGGUAGUCCCUGUCUCUUAUAC